Pezoporus occidentalis (night parrot) is the source of this 766-nucleotide long non-coding RNA. RefSeq lists it as uncharacterized. Lineage: Eukaryota; Metazoa; Chordata; Aves; Psittaciformes; Psittacidae. The record is from RefSeq and is a predicted model, not a curated record. The transcript is spliced from 3 exons.
CAUCCCGGCUCUCCUCAGCUCCGGGUCCCUCCGCUGCUCCCUGAGGCGGCCGCGGCUCCGGGAGGGCACGACCCGGCCCCGGGCUCCCUCCCCGCCGCGCCCGGUGCUGGGCACUGGCGGUAGCGAGCUCCCGCCCGCCGCUCCCCUCAGCCCAGCGCCCCCCACCGGCUGAGGCAGGAGCGGACCCGGCGAGGCCCAGGCCCAAAGCUCCGUCCCCACCUCCUUCUCGACCGGCGUUUGGAACAGAACGUCGCACACACGGAAAAAGGCCUCCCUAACUGACUGAGUCACUUCAUAAGGAUCUUCUUUAUGCUACAGAGUCUAAAACCUCUAAGCAAGGCCUUCCUUUAUGCUUGGAAAGGAAACAAUCACCAAGCACAGGAGACUCGUCAUGCGCAGAGCGGUCCGCAAUCUGCUUCUGCGAAACAAUGCGGUAGAUCUCUGCAAUGAGAACACACUGCUCAGAGCACAGAAGGAUGUGGCCUCCCAACACAGCACACGUCAGAGCAAGCUGUCAGAGGUGAUGCAAGAACCCAAGAACAAGGAAGAUUUUAACUUGAGAGCUGUGAAAGGGAAUCUAGUUUCAGCAGCUGUGGUAUGUAACAUCUGGCUGGCUUUCCAGCUCUGUAAUGGACACGUCAGCUUUGUCUGGAAAAGUUAUUAAGACAAGAUUCCUUACUGCCUUCCACCACAGUGCUUUGUAUCACGUUCUUGUUCGAUGACUCCAUGAACAUGGGUAUUAUUAAAAAGCUUUUUAAAUUAGAAA